GACGAACGCUGGCGGCGUGCUUAACACAUGCAAGUCGAACGAUGAAGCCGGAGCUUGCUCCGGUGGAUUAGUGGCGAACGGGUGAGUAACACGUGAGCAAUCUGCCCUUGACUCUGGGAUAACUGCGGGAAACUGUAGCUAAUACCGGAUACGACACCUUGGGGCAUCCCAGGGUGUGGAAAGAAUUUCGGUCAAGGAUGAGCUCGCGGCCUAUCAGCUAGUUGAUGAGGUAAUGGCUCACCAAGGCGACGACGGGUAGCCGGCCUAAGAGGGUGACCGGCCACACUGGAACUGAGACACGGUCCAGACUCCUACGGGAGGCAGCAGUGGGGAAUAUUGCACAAUGGGCGAAAGCCUGAUGCAGCAACGCCGCGUGAGGGAUGAAGGCCUUCGGGUUGUAAACCUCUUUUAGCAGGGAAGAAGCGAAAGUGACGGUACCUGCAGAAAAAGCACCGGCUAACUACGUGCCAGCCGCCGCAGUAA
This 483-nucleotide ribosomal RNA is filed under the name uncultured bacterium. RNAcentral describes it as "partial 16S ribosomal RNA". It matches the Rfam family "Bacterial small subunit ribosomal RNA", at positions 28 to 523 of the family's 1533-position model. The record is from RNAcentral.